Molecule: non-coding RNA, 218 nt
Organism: Petromyzon marinus (sea lamprey)
Lineage: Eukaryota; Metazoa; Chordata; Hyperoartia; Petromyzontiformes; Petromyzontidae
Source: RefSeq, a predicted model, not a curated record
UAGUGGUGGAGAAACUGUAAGAUGUGGGCUAUCCUCAUCGCUGUUUUUCUCAUCAUCAUCGUCAUCAUUAUCGUGUGGUACUCUUCCUGAUCGCCCAGCGCCUUGAACUGCCCACUCACGGCCUUGAUGAGGAGGUGGAGGUGGUGGUGACAUGCAGGGAUGGGUGGGUGAGUGAGUCAGUGGGUGAGUGAGUCAGUGGGUGAGUGGGUGAGUGAGUC